This 83-nucleotide transfer RNA is filed under the name Candidatus Sungbacteria bacterium RIFCSPHIGHO2_02_FULL_49_12. Its description in RNAcentral is "tRNA-Tyr". It matches the Rfam family "tRNA". Rfam says of the family: Transfer RNA (tRNA) molecules are approximately 80 nucleotides in length. Lineage: Bacteria; Candidatus Sungiibacteriota. The record is from RNAcentral.
GGGUGCGUCGCAUAGCGGCAAUUGCUCGUGGCUGUAAACCACGCGUCCUCUGGACUACGCAGGUUCGAGUCCUGCCGCACCCA